ACGCUGGCGGCGUGCCUAAUACAUGCAAGUAGAACGCUGAAGAGAGGAGCUUGCUCUUCUUGGAUGAGUUGCGAACGGGUGAGUAACGCGUAGGUAACCUGCCUUGUAGCGGGGGAUAACUAUUGGAAACGAUGGCUAAUACCGCAUAACAAUGGAUGACCCAUGUCAUUUAUUUGAAAGGGGCAAAUGCUCCACUACAAGAUGGACCUGCGUUGUAUUAGCUAGUAGGUGAGGUAACGGCUCACCUAGGCGACGAUACAUAGCCGACCUGAGAGGGUGAUCGGCCACACUGGGACUGAGACACGGCCCAGACUCCUACGGGAGGCAGCAGUAGGGAAUCUUCGGCAAUGGGGGCAACCCUGACCGAGCAACGCCGCGUGAGUGAAGAAGGUUUUCGGAUCGUAAAGCUCUGUUGUAAGUCAAGAACGAGUGUGAGAGUGGAAAGUUCACACUGUGACGGUAGCUUACCAGAAAGGGACGGCUAACUGCGUGCCAGCAGCCGCGGUAAUACGUAGGUCCCGAGCGUUGUCCGGAUUUAUUGGGCGUAAAGCGAGCGCAGGCGGUUUGAUAAGUCUGAAGUUAAAGGCUGUGGCUCAACCAUAGUUCGCUUUGGAAACUGUCAAACUUGAGUGCAGAAGGGGAGAGUGGAAUUCCAUGUGUAGCGGUGAAAUGCGUAGAUAUAUGGAGGAACACCGGUGGCGAAAGCGGCUCUCUGGUCUGUAACUGACGCUGAGGCUCGAAAGCGUGGGGAGCGAACAGGAUUAGAUACCCUGGUAGUCCACGCCGUAAACGAUGAGUGCUAGGUGUUGGAUCCUUUCCGGGAUUCAGUGCCGCAGCUAACGCAUUAAGCACUCCGCCUGGGGAGUACGACCGCAAGGUUGAAACUCAAAGGAAUUGACGGGGGCCCGCAC
RNAcentral lists this ribosomal RNA (911 nucleotides) under uncultured bacterium. Its description in RNAcentral is "bacterial SSU rRNA". It matches the Rfam family "Bacterial small subunit ribosomal RNA", at positions 33 to 926 of the family's 1533-position model. The record is from RNAcentral.